CUGCCAUCCCCCCGCCACGAGCGCUUAGCACGCAACGCUGGUGUCUGUGACAUCACGACAUCGUGGUAGAUCUCUGGCUUUGAUGGUCUGGCCGGGGAGGGUAAUAACCUGUACCCCCUCUGUUAGAGAUCAAAGGAGGUGGUGGUCUGGCCCGGGAGGGUAAUAAUCUGUACCCCCUCUGUUAGAGAUCAAAGGAGGUGGUGGUCUGGCCCGGGAGGGUAAUAACCUGUACCCCCUCUGUUAGAGAUCAAAGGAGGUGGUGGUCUGGCCCGGGAGGGUAAUAAUCUGUACCCCCUCUGUUAGAGAUCAAAGGAGGUGGUGGUCUGGGAGGGUAUUAACCUGUACCCCCUCUGUUAGAGAUCAAAGGAGGUGGUGGUCUGGGAGGGUAAUAACCUGUACCCCCUCUGUUAGAGAUCAAAGGAGGUGGUGGUCUGGGAGGGUAUUAACCUGUACCUCCUCCGUUAGAGAUCAAAGGGGCCGGUAGUGGCAGUUAGCUGAUCUCUGGAACACACACACACAAUGUCUGCAAUUAGCAGCAACACUCCUCUGUGUCAGAAGCAGGUCUGGUGUAUCUGGGGGAAGCAGGAAGCAGCAGAAGGUGAAUAAUUGUGUACAUGGAUAAUGUCUCUCCUGAUGAGAGGAUGAUUUCUGCACCUGCAUCAUUUACAUACACACCUCCAACUCUCUCCCCAC
Molecule: long non-coding RNA, 693 nt
Organism: Oncorhynchus tshawytscha (Chinook salmon)
Lineage: Eukaryota; Metazoa; Chordata; Actinopteri; Salmoniformes; Salmonidae
Source: Ensembl